UAUGACAUCUCUGUGAUGGAAAGCCAUCAA
This 30-nucleotide non-coding RNA is filed under the name Mus musculus (house mouse). The record is from RNAcentral. Lineage: Eukaryota; Metazoa; Chordata; Mammalia; Rodentia; Muridae.